This is a long non-coding RNA of Branchiostoma floridae (Florida lancelet), 467 nucleotides long. RefSeq lists it as uncharacterized. NCBI's taxonomy places the organism in Eukaryota, Metazoa, Chordata, Leptocardii, Amphioxiformes, Branchiostomatidae. The record is from RefSeq and is a predicted model, not a curated record. The transcript has 5 exons.
AUACUAGACGUACUGUAUUCCACAUACAGCUGCAGUUGAUAACAAGAAGGACCAAAAAGACGUUCCUGAAAGAGUGGAGGACAUCAACUGUAUCGCUCUGACCAAUACAGGAAAAGGAGAAGAUGCUCUUGAUAUCCCCGAACAAUCUGAUGACGGACUGACCAAAAAGCAAGGCUGUGAAGGCCAUCAGAAAGAAGAGCAGUGGGGGUCAUCUGAUCAUGACAACUGCAUCUGUCAAGCGCCAGACCGUCUCUGCUAUCAUGUUGACUGUCUUCCUGGUUCUGAGAUUGUCCGUGACUCCGAUGGUAUCUGGAGCUGUGAUGUUACUUCCUACAAACGAGACAUUACAGGAUCAGCGGUUGCGAUGCAUGAGAGAAUAAAGCGGUUUACGGGACUCGAAAUAUUCGGCCUCGCUACAGGCAUUUUCGGCGUUGUGGCAAGCAUAAUCGGAUUCACUGUCGACCGCA